RNAcentral lists this transfer RNA (76 nucleotides) under Planctomycetota bacterium. RNAcentral describes it as "Planctomycetes bacterium tRNA-Lys". It matches the Rfam family "tRNA". From Rfam's summary of the family: Transfer RNA (tRNA) molecules are approximately 80 nucleotides in length. Their secondary structure includes four short double-helical elements and three loops (D, anti-codon, and T loops). Further hydrogen bonds mediate the characteristic L-shaped molecular structure. tRNAs have two regions of fundamental functional importance: the anti-codon, which is responsible for specific mRNA codon recognition, and the 3' end, to which the tRNAs corresponding amino acid is attached (by aminoacyl-tRNA synthetases). tRNAs cope with the degeneracy of the genetic code in two manners: having more than one tRNA (with a specific anti-codon) for a particular amino acid; and 'wobble' base-pairing, i.e. permitting non-standard base-pairing at the 3rd anti-codon position. Lineage: Bacteria; Pseudomonadati; Planctomycetota. The record is from RNAcentral.
GGGGGCGUAGCUCAGUUGGCAGAGUAGCGGACUUUUAAUCCGUAGGUCGAAGGUUCGAGCCCUUCCGCCCUCACCA